GGAACAGGGCAGUUCUUCACUCUUCAGACUGAGGCCAGUUGCACCUGGGAAGAGGAUCACACUGCUGGCAAGCUCAGACCCCAGAGGGAUGAGGUCCCAUCUCUGCACUCUGCUCCAAGACCCAGAGAUGGAGGGAAUCAGGGCCAACUCUGCCUUGCUGAUGAACAGAGAAAAGGGGAGGCAGCAGCAGAAAUUUUGGGGAAAACGAGAUCCAGACCUCCCUGAGACCAGCAGAAGACCGUGAUGGAUGUGGGGAAGAAAAGGUGCACUUCAAUAUUCAUACACCCUUCCCCAACCCAGCAAAGCUGUUCCUCAGCUCCCUCUCUUCCAGCUCUCUGCCUACAAAGAAAUCUGGAUUAAGGAGUUAGGUGUAUUUAACAAAGACUUCGGCCCAGGACCUUGCCCCAGAGUGUGAAUUGCCCUCUUUUUUU
Myiozetetes cayanensis is the source of this 431-nucleotide long non-coding RNA. RefSeq lists it as uncharacterized. The transcript is spliced from 3 exons. The record is from RefSeq and is a predicted model, not a curated record. Lineage: Eukaryota; Metazoa; Chordata; Aves; Passeriformes; Tyrannidae.